Long non-coding RNA from Xiphophorus maculatus (southern platyfish), 724 nucleotides. RefSeq lists it as uncharacterized. The transcript is spliced from 4 exons. Lineage: Eukaryota; Metazoa; Chordata; Actinopteri; Cyprinodontiformes; Poeciliidae. The record is from RefSeq and is a predicted model, not a curated record.
UAAAAAAUGCUGGGUUAUUUUCAUAACCCAACUUCUGGGUAAGAGAUGCUGGGUCAUAUGUUGGGUUACUUUGACCCAAUAUUGGAUCAAAAGUAGUGACCCAGCGGUUGGGUUGACUUUUUUUUUUUGUUUUAAUGAACUCCACUUAACUGAUUCUGUUAGGUUUCAGGUUCAGUUGACUCAACACUUUACCCAAUUGGUUGGGUCAAAUACAGUUUGACCCAACCAAUUGGGUAAAAAUCCAUUGCCCUCUUCACAAACCUCCAUUUUCAACUGGACUGUGACCUGAUCAGACAACACUGGAUUUCUCAAUUCAAAUAAAACAUGAUCUGAAAGAUGGAUGAGUUUGUAAAACAGAAGCUGACUGAAUGGAAACUUUCUGACCUAAUCCCUGCUUUUGAAGCUGAAAACAUUGAUGAAGAAAGCUUCUUUCUUUUGGAUGCUAACUGCCUGACAUCCCUGAUUCCUCACCUUGGUCCUCGUCUGAAAUUUCAACGUCAUUUUGCAAAAUUUCUUGAGAACAUCCGUGAGAUCCUCAGUGCCUCCCCUGAAGGUAGACCUGUGGUUAUCAGUCUUGAUGGAAAUCAGCAUAUAUCCAUUCGUGAAAGACGGUGCAUGGUCAGAACACUUGUGUCACACCUGAUGGAUCAAUAUGGAGAAAAGUGAGUAUUUCUUGUAAAAACUGGAUCAAUUAGGUUGUUUUUGUGACAUUUUGCUCUUGGUG